CCUACGGGAUGCAGCAGUGGGGAAUAUUGCACAAUGGGGGGAACCCUGAUGCAGUAACGCCGCGUGAAGGAAGACGGUUUUCGGAUUGUAAACUUCUUUUCUCAGGGACGAAGAAAGUGACGGUACCUGAGGAAUAAGCCACGGCUAACUACGUGCCAUCAGCCGCGGUAAUACGUAGGUGGCAAGCGUUAUCCGGAUUUACUGGGUGUAAAGGGCGUGUAGGCGGGACUGCAAGUCAGAUGUGAAAACCACGGGCGCAACCUGUGGCCUGCAUUUGAAACUGUAGUUGUUGAGUACUGGAGAGGCAGACGGAAUUCCUAGUGUAGCGGUGAAAUGCGUAGAUAUUAGGAGGAACACCAGUGGCGAAGGCGGUCUGCUGGACAGCAACUGACGCUGAGGCGCGAAAGCGUGGGGAGCAAACAGGAUUAGAUACCCGAGUAGUC
Molecule: ribosomal RNA, 443 nt
Filed under: uncultured bacterium
Lineage: Bacteria
Description: partial 16S ribosomal RNA
Rfam family: Bacterial small subunit ribosomal RNA
Source: RNAcentral